UAAUACAGAGGAGCCAAGCGUUGUCCGGAUUGACUGGGCGUAAAGCGCACGCAGGCGGACGCGCGCGUGGGGUGUGAAAUCUGGCCGCUUAACGGCCAGGCGCCAUCCCAUACGGCGCGUCUGGAGCCAUGCAGAGGGCGGUGGAAUUGCCGGUGUAGUGGUGAAAUGCGUAGAGAUCGGCAGGAACACCCAGGGGGAAACCAGCCGCCUGGGCAUGCGCUGACGCUGAGGUGCGAGAGCGUGGGGAGCGAACCGGAUUAGAUACCCGGGUAGUCCACGCCGUAAACGAUGGCCACUCGGCCUUUGGGGGCGGAAUCUCCGUCCGUGGGGGCCUUAGCUAACGCGGGAAGUGGCCCGCCUGGGAACUACGAGCGCAAGCUUA
This 382-nucleotide ribosomal RNA is filed under the name uncultured bacterium. Its description in RNAcentral is "bacterial SSU rRNA". It matches the Rfam family "Bacterial small subunit ribosomal RNA", at positions 521 to 896 of the family's 1533-position model. The record is from RNAcentral.